GAUGAACGCUGGCGGCGUGCCUAAUACAUGCAAGUCGAGCGAACAGACGAGGAGCUUGCUCCUCUGACGUUAGCGGCGGACGGGUGAGUAACACGUGGAUAACCUACCUAUAAGACUGGGAUAACUUCGGGAAACCGGAGCUAAUACCGGAUAAUAUAUUGAACCGCAUGGUUCAAUAGUGAAAGACGGUUUUGCUGUCACUUAUAGAUGGAUCCGCGCCGCAUUAGCUAGUUGGUAAGGUAACGGCUUACCAAGGCGACGAUGCGUAGCCGACCUGAGAGGGUGAUCGGCCACACUGGAACUGAGACACGGUCCAGACUCCUACGGGAGGCAGCAGUAGGGAAUCUUCCGCAGUGGGCGAAAGCCUGACGGAGCAACGCCGCGUGAGUGAUGAAGGUCUUCGGAUCGUAAAACUCUGUUAUUAGGGAAGAGCAAAUGUGUAAGUAACUAUGCACGUCUGGACGGUACCUAAUCAGAAAGCCACGGCUAACUACGU
RNAcentral lists this ribosomal RNA (496 nucleotides) under uncultured bacterium. RNAcentral describes it as "partial 16S ribosomal RNA". It matches the Rfam family "Bacterial small subunit ribosomal RNA", at positions 28 to 506 of the family's 1533-position model. The record is from RNAcentral.